CGCCUUUAGGGGGCGGGGCCGGGGCGGGGCCGGUGGCCACGGGGGCGACGUCACUGGCCACGGAGGGGGCGGGGGUGGCCCCAGUAGCUCCAGAGUUGAUACUGGGGACACUGGUGGCCACUUUGGGGACGGUGGUGGCCACAUCGGAGACGGUGGUGGCCACUUUGGGGUCGUUGGUGGCCACUUUGGGGACGUUGGUGGCCACAUUGGGGACGUUGGUGGCCACGGCGGUGGCCCCAGUAGCUCCAGCGUUGAUACUGGUGACACUGGUGGCCACAGCGCGGACGGUGGUGGCCACAGCAGGGAGGUUGGUGGCCACAGCGGGGACGUUGGUGGCCACGGAGGUGGCACCGGUAGCUCCAGCGUUGAUACUGGUGACACUGGUGGCCACGGUGGGGACGCUGGUGGCCACCGCAGAGAGGUUGGUGGCCCUGGGGCCACUGGUCAAACUGGUGGCCACGGUGGGGACGUUGGUGGCCUUGGGAGCGACGGCGACGCUGGUGGCCACUGGGGUGACGCUGGUGGCCACGGUGGCUGCAGGGGUGGCCUUGGGAGCGCUGGUGGCCACGGAGGGGACACUGGUGGCCACGGGGGUGACGGUGACACCGGCCGGAGCGGUGGCCUUAACGCUGGUGGCCACGGAGGGGACACUGGUGGCCACAGCGCGGACGGUGGUGGCCACAGCAGGGAGGUUGGUGGCCACAGCGGGGACGUUGGUGGCCACGGAGGUGGCACCGGUAGCUCCAGCGUUGAUACUGGUGACACUGGUGGCCACGGUGGGGACGCUGGUGGCCACCGCAGAGAGGUUGGUGGCCCUGGGGCCACUGGUCAAACUGGUGGCCACGGUGGGGACGUUGGUGGCCUUGGGAGCGACGGCGACGCUGGUGGCCACUGGGGUGACGCUGGUGGCCACGGUGGCUGCAGGGGUGGCCUU
RNAcentral lists this long non-coding RNA (934 nucleotides) under Calidris pugnax (ruff). RNAcentral describes it as "lncRNA (ENSCPUG00000008201.1)". Lineage: Eukaryota; Metazoa; Chordata; Aves; Charadriiformes; Scolopacidae. The record is from RNAcentral.